This is a non-coding RNA of Pelobates cultripes (western spadefoot toad), 236 nucleotides long. Lineage: Eukaryota; Metazoa; Chordata; Amphibia; Anura; Pelobatidae. The record is from the annotation of a GenBank genome assembly.
GGCAUUCCUCCAGCUCAUCACUUUAGCCAAUCCCAUCACAUUUACUACUCUAUGUAACAACAGCUGGUUCCCAUGUCUAAUCAUUCUGUAACAAAGCAUUUCAUCCACCUGCAGCUUCUUCCUAGUCCUUUAUCUCUUUCAUACUUUAUGCUCCUGAUUUUUGGCGUAAACCGCCGGAACGGCACAGUUUGUAAGGGCUCUCCUUGACACAGGCAGCUUAGUGUGCCACUUGCAAC